Fundulus heteroclitus (mummichog) is the source of this 1066-nucleotide long non-coding RNA. RefSeq lists it as uncharacterized. The transcript is spliced from 2 exons. The record is from RefSeq and is a predicted model, not a curated record. Lineage: Eukaryota; Metazoa; Chordata; Actinopteri; Cyprinodontiformes; Fundulidae.
AACCAUAAAAGGACAUGGAUGAAAAGGAAAAAAAAAAAACCCUUCCUGUUGAUGAAAGGUCAAAUUAGAUGUAUUCAUGUGGACUACACACUAUAAAAAAAUAAAAUUUACCUCAACUAAAGAUUAAAAGAAAAAGCAACAAUAAGAACAAUCACUGAAAUCAAAAGUUAAACGUCUUCGUCUACUAGGAUCUGGUCUUUAAACCUAAAAUAAACUUCACUUCCUGUUGAUGAAAGGUGAAAUUAGACAUGUUCAUGUGGACUACACAAAAAAAUAAAAUUAACCUCAAUCAAAGAUUACAAGAAAAAGCUAUAAGAACAAUCUCUGAAAUCAAAAGUGAAACGUCUUCGUCUACUAGGAUCUGGUCUUUAAACCUAAAAUAAACUUCACUUCCUGUUGAUGAAAGGUCUUUCAUUCAAAUUAGACAUGUUCAUGUGGAUUACACAAAAAAAAUAAAAUUAACCUCAAUCAAAGAUUACAAGAAAAAGCAACAAGGACAAUCACUGAAAUCAAAAGUGGAACGUCUUUGUCGACUAGAAUCUGGUCUUUAAACCUAAAAAAAAAACAAUCUGAGAUUCAUUAGCAUUUAUUCUUCAUGGAUAUAUUCCUAUUGGAUCUGUAGUCUGCAACGAUAAAAGGACAUGGAAGAAGAGAAAAAAACACUUUCUGUUGAUGAAACGUCAAAUUAGACUUGUUCAUGUGGACUACACGCAACUGAAAAAUUACCUCAAUUAAAGAUUAAAAGAAAACGCAACAAGAAUAACCACUGAAAUCAAAAGUGGAACGUCUUCGUCUACUAGGAUCUGGUCUUUAAACCUAAAAUAAACUUCACUUCCUGUUGAUGAAAGGUCAAAUUAGAUGUAUAAAUGUGGACUACACAAUAUAAAAAAUAAAAUUAACCUCAAUUAAAGAUUACAAGAAAAAGCAAUAAGAACAAUCAAUGAAAUCAAAAGUUAAACGUCUUCGUCGACUAGGAUCUGGUCUUUAAACCUAAAAUAAACUUCACUUCCUGUUGAUGAAAGGUCUUUCAUUCAAAUUAGACGUGUUCGUGUGGACUACACAAAAA